Molecule: long non-coding RNA, 1817 nt
Filed under: Pongo abelii (Sumatran orangutan)
Lineage: Eukaryota; Metazoa; Chordata; Mammalia; Primates; Hominidae
Description: lincRNA
Source: RNAcentral
CCUUUCACGGCUGCUCCUUGCGCUGCUGGGGGAGGUUGCUGAGGUAUGGGGAAGAGGUACGCCGUCGCUAAGCAACAAGAGGCUGUGCACCUGGAGGUCCUAGGAGGAGACCCUGGCACCAUCGGUAUGGGGGAGGCAGGGAGACAGUAAAGGGUUGACCAAGCUCAAGGCUCCCUCUCCCAUCCUCCCCAAGACAGUUACAGAGGAGGGAUGUACCCAUCCUUCAAGAAGCCUGUUGAAUUAGCUCACAAUCCUCCGGAAGGCUGCGAUUAUGCAUGCAAACCUGUGUGACAUUCCAUAGACUGAGAGUUGGAGAGGGCAGGGGCUAGGGCAUGAAAGACAAGGGUGAGCAACUUUCACACCAAUCUUGGAGGAAGGUCGAGGACUUGCCUGUCUGCUAAAAGGUAGGAACUUCCAUGGAAGUGCAAAGGUCUGAGGGCGGAAACUUAGUAGGGAGGAGACAGAAUGGGAAGGGAAGCCGGUUGGACCCUGGGCCAGCCUCCCAGUCACAGAGGCUACCAAGGAGCCUACACAGAAGGGAGGUGGCAGGGCAGCAGGGGCCCCACACCCAUCAGCCAUCUGCUGGAAUUCUCAGUGUCUUCAAAGCUGAAGUGCUGCACUGUAUGCCAUUAUUUUUCUUCUCUUUUAUUAUUGUUUUUUGGUGGACUAGAGUUUGAACGAGGUAACGAUCAAGAGGGAAAGACUCGUCCAUUGACCCUGUCACCCGCCUCACUGCAUCUCUAACAGGCCCGUAGGCCUGUAAACGUGAGGAGCAGCUCAGGCUUGACAGAGGGCCAUUGCCUCCCUUUUUCUGUCACUUCCUCCAUUGCCUCAACCCCUAUCCAGAAGAGCGCACCUUCAUUCAACAAGCAUGGAUCAAGCACUCGUGACGUGCCAGCCAGGGUGCUGGGGAAGUGAUGAGGGGUGGGUUCCGUGGUGGCCGACACCCAGCCCCUCCUCCACAAUGCCCGUCUCCUUGAUGGCAGGCUCUCGUUCUCCCAUCAGAUGCUACACUCACACAUGCUGCACAUACUGGUGAAUAGCUUCUUGCAGUCCAUCCUGGCACGGUCCCCAAAUUCCGCAGGGAACAGGGUGUGCUUCAGCCCUCUCCCUCUCUCACUAAGGGCUAGGAAGUUUUGAGUCUUCCGUCUCACACACCGCAGAGGCUGCAUUGCCGAGAAGACACAGGGGCAAUGUGAGGCCUUCUUAUUCCCGACCCACGAGAAAGAUGCCAAGUUGGGGACAAGAAGGGUACAGGCUUGUUUUGCUUUCAUUCCUGCUUUAUGUCAGGCACUCUGAAAGGCAUUGUGUACACUGUUUUCAUCGUCAGACAAUAGCCCAUAAUACUUUGUCUGACAUCUGACAAAGAAUGAUCAGCCUUAUUUUAGAGAUGGUGAAACUAAAGGAGCAUGUUCAUGUUCAUACAGCACAAAGUGGCUCUGGGAUUUCAACCCAUAUAGUACCGUUAGGAUAAUACCCUCACAAAUUCAAUGUUGAAAGUGCUAAUGAAGGCCGGGUGUGGUGCCUCAUGCCUGUAAUCCCAGCACUUUGGGAGGCCAAGGCGGGCAGAUCACCUGAGGUCAAGAGUUUGAGACCAGCCUGACCAACAUGGAGAAACUCCGUCUCUACUAAAAAUACAAAAUUAUCUGGGCGUGGUGGCACAUGCCUGUAGUCCCAGCUACUUGGGAGGCUGAGGCAGGAGAAUUGCUUGAACCCGGGAGGCAGAGGUUGCAGUGAGCCAAGAUUGCGCCACUGCACUCCAGCCUGGGCAACAGAGCGAGACUCCAUCUCAAUAAAUAAAUAAAUAAAUAAAUAAA